Molecule: transfer RNA, 73 nt
Filed under: Hordeum vulgare
Lineage: Eukaryota; Viridiplantae; Streptophyta; Magnoliopsida; Poales; Poaceae
Description: tRNA-OTHER
Source: RNAcentral
GGUGAUGUAGUAGAGUGGUGUUGGUUCUGUGUUGGUAACCAGGAGGUCUAGGGAUCGAAUCCCUUCCCUAUCC